GAACUAUGUUUGGAACUUUGAAAGUUCCGUUGGAGACUUGUUUCUCGUGGUUUU
This 54-nucleotide transfer RNA is filed under the name Heterakis gallinarum. Its description in RNAcentral is "tRNA-Ser". Lineage: Eukaryota; Metazoa; Nematoda; Chromadorea; Rhabditida; Heterakidae. The record is from RNAcentral.